GACGAGCCUCACAAACGUUAUUCGGAAUUACUGGGCUUAAAGGGUGCGUAGGCGGUGCGGCAAGUUGGGUGUGAAAUCCCUCGGCUCAACCGAGGAACUGCGCUCAAAACUGCCGUACUCGAGGAAGAUAGAGGUGAGCGGAACUUACGGUGGAGCGGUGAAAUGCGUUGAUAUCGUAAGGAACACCCGUGGCGAAAGCGGCUCACUGGGUCUUAUCUGACGCUGAUGCACGAAAGCUAGGGGAGCGAACGGG
RNAcentral lists this ribosomal RNA (253 nucleotides) under uncultured bacterium. RNAcentral describes it as "partial 16S ribosomal RNA". It matches the Rfam family "Bacterial small subunit ribosomal RNA", at positions 524 to 776 of the family's 1533-position model. The record is from RNAcentral.